AAGUCGUAACAAGGUUUCCGUAGGUGAACCUGCGGAAGGAUCAUUAAUGAAGUUUUUUGGGGUUUUUAAAUUCCAAAAAAUAAUUCACCUUUUGUGCAUUGUUAUUAGAUAUACUUUGGUUAGAGCUUUGAUUUCAUUUUAUUGGAAUCAACUUCUUGCUAACUCUAUCCUAUUUGUAUGGGACAGUUGGCUAUGAAGCGGCCUACCAAGGUUUUUUAUCAAACACAUUUAAUUUAUCUGACCUAAAAACAAAUAAUUAAAUCAUAACUUUCAACAACGGAUCUCUUGGCUCUC
Molecule: unclassified non-coding RNA, 294 nt
Filed under: fungal sp.
Lineage: Eukaryota; Fungi
Description: partial internal transcribed spacer region
Rfam family: Eukaryotic small subunit ribosomal RNA (bases 1-46)
Source: RNAcentral